This 468-nucleotide ribosomal RNA is filed under the name uncultured bacterium. RNAcentral's name for it is "partial 16S ribosomal RNA". It matches the Rfam family "Bacterial small subunit ribosomal RNA", at positions 28 to 507 of the family's 1533-position model. The record is from RNAcentral.
GACGAACGCUGGCGGCGUGCUUAACACAUGCAAGUCGAACGGAAAGGCCCUGCUUUUGUGGGGUGCUCGAGUGGCGAACGGGUGAGUAACACGUGAGUAACCUGCCCUUGACUUUGGGAUAACUUCAGGAAACUGGGGCUAAUACCGGAUAGGAGCUCCUGCUGCAUGGUGGGGGUUGGAAAGUUUCGGCGGUUGGGGAUGGACUCGCGGCUUAUCAGCUUGUUGGUGGGGUAGUGGCUUACCAAGGCUUUGACGGGUAGCCGGCCUGAGAGGGUGACCGGCCACAUUGGGACUGAGAGACGGCCCAGACUCCUACGGGAGGCAGCAGUGGGGAAUAUUGCACAAUGGGCGGAAGCCUGAUGCAGCAACGCCGCGUGCGGGAUGACGGCCUUCGGGUUGUAAACCGCUUUCGCCUGUGACGAAGCGUGAGUGACGGUAAUGGGUAAAGAAGCUCCGGCUAACUACGUG